Vespa mandarinia (Asian giant hornet) is the source of this 875-nucleotide long non-coding RNA. Lineage: Eukaryota; Metazoa; Arthropoda; Insecta; Hymenoptera; Vespidae. The record is from RefSeq and is a predicted model, not a curated record.
UUCUCGACGAUGGCCAUAGAUAACUAUCUACCUCCCUCCCUCCCUCCCUCCUACCCUCCUUCUCUCUCUCUCUCUCUUCUUCGAUGGGUCUACUCUGUCUCAUUUUCCUUUGCGAGCUCGUUCAUUCAGAACGCGAAAUCAAUGAACGUUAUUUUUGGCGAAGACCGGCGUCAGCAAUGAAUCGACCUGACGUCCACGACCUGAUCAUACGUUGGUAUAUAGAGAAAGUCCGAUAUAAUCGUGGAUCGCCAGAGAGUUGGAAACUGUAAACAAGGCUAAAGAUCUUUCGACAGACGAAUGCGGCGCCAACGUUACGCUGACGCAACACGUAAAAGGGGAGUAAAUGGGAGACGAUGUGUCUCCCGUGCGAAAGCCAACGUCGGUAUUAUCCCGAAUUUGCAGGAAACACAGUCGACGGCCUCUUCUCGCUCGAACAAAUCUAAUUUUAUCACGAGACGCAGCAAAGUUUCAACGUUCCGACGUUGUACGAACCGUACACAUACAUACACAUAUACAUACACAUAUACAUACACAUAUACAUAUCAACGUGUACAUAUGUAAGACACGUAUAAAGGAAGAAGAGCAUAUGUUCAUUAAAAGAGGAAAAAAAAAAAAAAAAAAAAAGAAAUAAAAAAUUGAAAGAAUAAAAAAGACCGAUUAGUUAGUAAAAAAUAUUUAUCAUCGAAUUUACUUAAAAUAUUUCAUUUUUACUAAGAUUUCACAGAUUCGAAGGAGGGGGAAGGAAAGGGGGGGGGGGUAGUUAAGAUCGUUACGAAGAUCAUGGAAGGUCCGUCGUAAAACGAAACGAGAAGGGAGAAGAGAAAAAUGAAAAAGACCGAGAAGAGAUUCGCAAAAUCAGUGUGGCCAAAAAAAAA